RNAcentral lists this ribosomal RNA (459 nucleotides) under uncultured bacterium. Its description in RNAcentral is "partial 16S ribosomal RNA". It matches the Rfam family "Bacterial small subunit ribosomal RNA", at positions 338 to 795 of the family's 1533-position model. The record is from RNAcentral.
CCUACGGGGGGCAGCAGUGAGGAAUAUUGGUCAAUGGCCGAGAGGCUGAACCAGCCAAGUCGCGUGAGGGAAGACGGCCCUACGGGUUGUAAACCUCUUUUGUCGGGGAGCAAAGCGAGUCACGUGUGACUCAUUGAGAGUACCCGAAGAAAAAGCAUCGGCUAACACCGUGCCAGCAGCCGCGGUAAUACGGAGGAUGCGAGCGUUAUCCGGAUUGAUUGGGUUAAAGGGGUGCGCAGGCGGGGGUGCAAGUCAGCGGUGAAAUUGAGGGGCUCAACCCCGUACUGCCGUUGAAACUGCAUCCCUUGAGUGCGCGAGAAGUAUGCGGAAUGCGUGGUGUAGCGGUGAAAUGCAUAGAUAUCACGCAGAACUCCGAUUGCGAAGGCAGCAUACCGGCGCCCAACUGACGCUGAAGCACGAAAGCGUGGGUAUCGAACAGGAUUAGAUACCCUUGUAGUC